This 460-nucleotide ribosomal RNA is filed under the name uncultured bacterium. Its description in RNAcentral is "partial 16S ribosomal RNA". It matches the Rfam family "Bacterial small subunit ribosomal RNA", at positions 338 to 795 of the family's 1533-position model. The record is from RNAcentral.
CCUACGGGAGGCAGCAGUGAGGAAUAUUGGUCAAUGGACGAGAGUCUGAACCAGCCAAGUAGCGUGAAGGAUGACUGCCCUAUGGGUUGUAAACUUCUUUUAUAUGGGAAUAAACUGUUCCACGUGUGGGAUUUUGUAUGUACCAUAUGAAUAAGGAUCGGCUAACUCCGUGCCAGCAGCCGCGGUAAUACGGAGGAUCCGAGCUUUAUCCGGAUUUAUUGGGUUUAAAGGGAGCGUAGUUGGUUUGUUAAGUCAGUUGUGAAAGUUUGCGGCUCAACCGUAAAAUUGCAGUUGAAACUGGCAGUCUUGAGUACAGUAGAGGUGGGCGGAAUGCGUGGUGUAGCGGUGAAAUGCUUAGAUAUCACGAAGAACUCCGAUUGCGAAGGCAGUUCACUGGACUGCAACUGACACUGAGGCUCGAAAGUGUGGGUAUCAAACAGGAUUAGAUACCCUAGUAGUC